GAUGAACGCUGGCGGCGUGCUUAACACAUGCAAGUCGAACGAAGCACUUAAGCUUGAUUCUUCGGAUGACGUCUUUUGUGACUUAGUGGCGGACGGGUGAGUAACGCGUGGGUAACCUGCCUCACACAGGGGGAUAACAGUUAGAAAUGACUGCUAAUACCGCAUAACCCGAUAGGAUCGCAUGAUCCAGACGGAAAAGAUUUAUCGGUGUGAGAUGGACCCGCGUCUGAUUAGCUAGUUGGUGAGGUAACGGCCCACCAAGGCGACGAUCAGUAGCCGGCCUGAGAGGGUGAACGGCCACAUUGGGACUGAGACACGGCCCAAACUCCUACGGGAGGCAGCAGUGGGGAAUAUUGCACAAUGGGGGAAACCCUGAUGCAGCGACGCCGCGUGAGUGAAGAAGUAUUUCGGUAUGUAAAGCUCUAUCAGCAGGGAAGAAAAUGACGGUACCUGACUAAGAAGCCCCGGCUAACUACGUG
RNAcentral lists this ribosomal RNA (479 nucleotides) under uncultured bacterium. RNAcentral's name for it is "partial 16S ribosomal RNA". It matches the Rfam family "Bacterial small subunit ribosomal RNA", at positions 28 to 507 of the family's 1533-position model. The record is from RNAcentral.